This is a long non-coding RNA of Aquila chrysaetos chrysaetos, 5847 nucleotides long. RefSeq lists it as uncharacterized. NCBI's taxonomy places the organism in Eukaryota, Metazoa, Chordata, Aves, Accipitriformes, Accipitridae. The transcript is spliced from 2 exons. The record is from RefSeq and is a predicted model, not a curated record.
AGCGAGCGGGGCCGGGCUGGGCGCCUCGGCCGGCAGCGCGGGGGGUGGGGGGGUGUCGCGGGCGUCUCUCGGAGCCCCCGGCGCGGCCGGGCAGCGCUCCCCGAGGCCGCAGGCGGCCGGAAUCGCGGGCAGGCCGCCCGGGGUGGCGGGGCGCGGGGUGCCGCACGGCGGAGCCAGGGUCCCGCAAAUGGCGGCAGGAAGGGUCUGCCUCUGCGUCCUGCCUCCGAGCAGCCGUAAAUGACUUGGAGAUAGCCUGCAAAGAAAAAAAUGUUUCUUUCUUGAGGGUGUGUACACACACAGAACGCCUGGAAAAGGCGGGUAAGGAGAGGGGGUUUUGGUUUUGCCUAGGUUUAUGUUUUAUGAGAGGAAUGCAGGCUUUGUGAGAAGCUGUGACCCAUGGAAAAAUGGGCAAAUUGUCGAAAGUGACUAUCGCCACGUAAAUGUUUAGAAACGCUGAAUAAUUCCAGUCUUCUUAAGGUCUGAAAACAAAAUGUGUCUCUUCCCAAAGUAUGACUGUCACGAUAAUUGCUCCGUGGCAAGCAAUCUCUUUCAGCCACUUGUGUUGACCAAGGGAUGUGAAUACCAUCAACAGACUUUGUUGGGGCUGCUCGAGGUGCAGAAUUGCCAGGCAGAUGAAGGGUCAACAUGGGCAGGUUCUGUGCUCGCUGGCAUCCUGAAGGCAAGGUAUGUGUUGAGGCAAAAGCAGAAGGGGCAGAAGAGUGCUGGGCUCUGACUCCUGCAAACUUACUGUCCUUCGGGGAAUGUUGCUGAUUAAAAUGAGCCUCUCUAUUCCUUAGACUUCUCUAAUCUAUCCCAGAAACCUCUCCAUUCAUUCUUUGAUUAAUUGCAUCCUCCAAAGGCUUUCUCCUCUAAUUCAUGUCAUCUUUAUAUGUUUGGACUUGAGCUUCAUCAGGCUGGUUUUCAUCUUCCUCUCAGUAUGUUCUCAAUAUUAGAUGUGUCAGAGGGCAGUUGUAAUUCCCAGAUUGAAUGAAAAGAUAAAGUAGCAUUGAUAUUAAUAACACUGCAAUCCGUAUACUGCAUUGUGAUCAUUCCCACAGCCUCUGUACAGAUGUUGGAUAGAAAAGGUGAUCAGCACCGAGUGCUGUUGCAAAUUGCAUCUGGGAGCCCUUAACAGAAGGAAAAGCCAUCUGCUACCAUCUGGGAACACUUAGUGAGGAAUCAGUGGAACCACGCUAAGGCAUUUCUCUUUCUGAGCCAGGUCAUGCAGCUGUGUCAGGGAUUUCACAUGCUCCACAAUGUCAAAGGCCACCAAAGCUUUGAGUCAUCUGUAAGUCACCAGGCAUCUGGCCAUGGUCACUGGCUGAGAUAUUUUUAUUAUUACACUUAGCAUAGGUGAGGUGCAGUACUGUAGGAGAAGUGAUCUCAGUGAGGCAGUUGCUAGCCAAGUGAGUACAGUCUAAAAGAGAUUUCUUUAGCAGGCAUCAGAGCAAAGUGUGUUUUGUUGGUGUGUGUCCCCCGCAAGAGCUGUUGGCAGCUUCCUCUCAGGAAGAAGCAGUGAUUCAUUCUUCCAGGAGCAGACUUACGCAGUCCCUGCAGUUUUUUUUCCCAGCCAAGCUGGAAUAGUCUAGAUUCUAGAUUAGUAAUUCAUAUUACAGUAGUUGCUCGGAAGUCCCUAUGCGCAAGGUGCUUUAGAGGUACAAAGAAAGAGGCGAUCCCUGUGCUAAUUUGAAGAUGUGAGCUGAACAAGAGAGAAAUUAAGAAACUUUCUCAGUGUCAGUAGGAGAUUCUGGAAAAUAUGUGAGCUGAAUUAAUAUCUCCCAAGCACUGCAGUAGCAUAAUUACUAUACAUAUUAAUUUAUAGUCAUUGACAGAUUGUAAAAAACAUGUAUAGCGUGACUUCUGUCAAGAAUUUACUGAGUGAUUUUAUGUUCGAAUUAAUAAGUUAUACACUAAAUUGAUAGAUAAUCUCUUUCAAAGUCAGGCUUACUUUAUAAAGUCCUCUAAAAUCUGUUUUCAAGCAGUAAAAUUGCCUUUGUGAUCCUCUAAUGCUUUGUGAUCAUGUAAUUUAAAAAUAUUCCUAUCCCCAAAACUAUCACCUAGACACUUCCAAUAGUUUACAUAGUAAAUACUUGUAAAGCAGUACAUUGAAAAUAGGCACUAUAACUGAAUUGUCUGUUAAAUGUUUUAAUUCAGGUAUUUAUUUUUCUGCACAUACAGCUUUGGCUACCCAGUAAAAUUAUCAUUAGAUAAACAUGUGUUGGGGGUGCUAAAAACUUGAAGCCAUUGGCUUCAAGUACAGGUCUCUCCUCCACCAAAUACAUCAUACUUGCUGGAGUAUGACACUCCAGCCUAACUGACCUCAAAGAAAGAGAUGUGGAUCUUGUAUGUCCAGCCAGUUAUAAAAUCUUCAUUUUCACCUCUUCUUGCCUCCCUGACUAAAGAAGCUAUCACUCAUAAAUACAUAGAAAUGCAUAUAUCAUUCUAAGUCUUGUACUCUGAUGGAAGACACAAUAAGAAAAUUUAUUUCAUAAUCAUUCUAGCCUGUCAAAUACCAUCCACAAAAGAAUAAACUGUAAAAUAAAGAUUAUUUAUAAUUGUUGCUGAUUGUGUAAGAUGGGCAAAUAUGUACACAUUCAGACUAGGAUUUUUUGCUUUUUGUUUAAUUUUCUUGCUCUUUUUUUUCACCUCUAAAUCUGUAUUUGACACUGUGAAGAAAAUGGACGCUUAAACACAUUAUUCCACCAGAAGGUGAGUGCUUUGGCUCAGUGCAGAACUGCCUUGUCUAAGGACAUUAAAAGCCAUUUUGGUUUGUAUGGGAGUAAUCAUAUGUUUGUGGGGUUUUCAAUGGACUGAAUUGUAGCUUCAGAAUAUGGUCCAGUAGAGUACUCAUGGGAUCCACCUGACAAGCAACUGAAACACAUACUCUCACCAGCUUUUCAGAACAGCUAUCAAGAAGCUUCCAAUAUGCAGUUUUUUGGCAACAGACUUGGUAAGGAUGCUUUCACUGCUUGCUGUGAAAUAGAGCAGCCACUCAGCCUUUCCUGUGCCGUGUGACACACAGGGUGCAUCAUGUGCUAUUCCCAUGUGACCUGGCACGUCAAGCAUGUCACCUUCAUGAGAGAGACAUGAGACAGGAGGGAGAGAAAUAAAUCUGUUUUCUCAUCAUCAGGCUUAUUGUUCCCCAUCUGCACCAAGUCUUUUUCUGCGUAAAGCUAAAUAAAGAGGUCUCAGAUUAAACCCCUACUGAGCACUUACUGACUCUGAGCCGAUUCCUGUAAGCUGAAUUAAAAUGCAAUGUUAAACAAUGAAAGAACCAUAUGUUCUUGUCUCAGGAUGUUUUAAAAAGAAAAUUGUCUACACAGAGCUGACAUAAUAUGACAGAAAUUGAAAGAAAAGUCAUGCAUUUACUCAUCACUAACUUUCAGAUACGCCGAUCCCUAAAGAAAUGGUUUAGCUAAGAACCAAGCAAAAAUAAGCAGACUUUUUAGCUAUAUAUUUUAGCUCUGCUUAGAACAUGUUUUAGAGGCAAAUAACCAGAGUAGCAUUUAGGACCUCAGGACACAGGGAGGCAUGGCUGAGAGUGCCUAUGACUUCUGGUAACAGUACAAGCCAUGGCUUGUGAGAAGGAGAGGCCCAAAGUGUUAGCUAGGUCCUGGCCGCUGUUGCCACAGUGCUGAUGUGGGAUGUCAGUUUUGUUGCUAAAUUCGUGCCCUCACUUUUGAUAGAAAUGUAUGUUCUGUAUAUUACUGCAAUUUCAUGUAAGUAUAUAAUGCUGUUUAUCAUCGUUAUCACCAAAAGAUGCUAAAAAUAUCAAUUAUGAUGACUGUACUCUUUAUUAUGUAGAAAGCCUUUUUGAUCUGCAUCUAAUGUGCAUAGGAUGGAGUCCAAGGUGAACUACAUCAGCGUGGAUUUAAAGACCAGAGUGCAACCAGCAAAUAGCAAGUCCCCCAACAGGUUUCGCCAUUGAAAAUCUGGGACAUGAGGAUUUCCAGCUCGCCUUUGGAUGGAGUCCUGGGCAGGAGGCUUAGAAAUACAAUCUACCAAUGCUAACAACUCUGUUGUAGAAAGGAACCAAACCAGGUUCUAAACAAGUGUUUGAACAUUCACAGGUAUGUAAAUCUUCAGGCUCUUGUGGAGGAAAAAGUCACGUACCUUUGCUUUAGGAAAUUUAACAGGAUACACAAGUAAGUGUAGCGACUUUAGAGGAUUGUAAAUACUUAUUACCUUCACACAAUCCAAUUCUCACCGUAUUGCUCGAUAUUUAUACUGUGAUGAUUAAAAGAAGACAUCCCUUAUCUGGCCUUUCUCUCUAUUUUUAACACCAAAGACUGUUGAAAAUUAAAUGUUUCAUUACAUACAUCAAUACUUCCCAGUAAUCUUGAAACAAUUAUCUUAAAUUAGUAUUUCCCUUUACACUGUCUUUUGUUUUCAACUGAUGGUAUCUUCUAUGUAAAAAGAGUGAAACUGCUUAUCUGUAUUAAGGCAGCACCUUUGUGGCACUGUUCAGGGGCUGGGAAAAGUUGCUGCAGCAACAGCGCAAGUUAUGUAAUGCUCCGUUCAAUGAAGGAUGAGUAAGCUGGUUUGCAGGGGGCUGCAAAUCCAAGCUCUCUCUUCCUGUCACUUUCUAUCCCUGCUUGCAAAGUGGAAUACAUUUUAUAAUAGGUUUUAAAAUUCUCUGUGGAGAGUAAUUUAGACUUAUUGUGCUAAAUAAUAACAAUAUGGAGAGAGAAUAAUUCUAGACAUUUCUUGAUAUCACAUUUUACUCGGCAUGGUUGAAGUGGCAUUAAAAAUCGGAUUUUAUUUAUUUUGCAGAAUCUAAAGUGUGGCUGAUGCAUUGCAAAGUGUAGCAAGACUUACCUGUGUUCAUCUAACUUAAACAGCAUGCGUCACCACACUAAGCAAGAAAUCAGCUUCUCCAGCCACUGAAAGGCUGGCUCUAAAGCAACCAGCAUGUCCUCCACCUCUUCUGCCACUACUGGAUGUUGAGUUUGCAGUCAGCUUUUGUAAUGGUGCAUUACAACUAUUGUAGCGAUCGCCAUUCUCCAUGUCUCCUCUCCAGGUUUCCUGAAAAGAGCAGGAAGCUAUCGUGAUUCUGCCUUUUUUUUUUUUUUUCCCCCUGCACUAGACUAUGUAGCUACCUAGCUGGUUAAAACGGAGCAUUUGAAGUUGUGUUCUCUUGGUGGGUGCAUGGUGGUGUUAUCCUGCUGCUGGGGAAAAGCACACAACCAACCCUUUCCCCCAAAUUAAACAAACAAACAUAAAACUCCAAAUGACCCCCAAAUAGCGUAGCAUUAUCUAAUUAUUUUGUGAAUUAAAUAGAUCAAUUCAAGAGAAAUGAGUGAAAACAGGCACCAUCCCAGCAGAGCUACCUUCCUGCAAAGAUGUUCUCGCUUGCCUGGUCAAAGGCUGAAGUCAAAGUUCAGAUUCUCGAAGGGAACUGCAGUAGUUCUGCAAUUUUAUGCCAGGGGUCUCUCCGUUGCAGAGACCAGGACUAGGAAGAAAAAAUCGGAUUAAAACUUUGCCGGACUGGUGACUGGAAUUUGCGUGUGGAGCAAAACAAGGGACGUGAGCUUCCCAAAAAAAACCAUGGAAUUUUGUCGGGCCGUGGCCUCGUCGAGCGUGAGGGAGGAGGAGAGGCCGGCGCGGCUGCGGCCCCGGUGCUUCGCUGUCGGCCCAAACGGGGGAGCGGGCCCGCCUGCCACAGGCGGUGGCUUUGCUCGCGCUUGCUUCAGCGCGCGAAAACGUUGCUGUAAAUCACAGAUAGGUGACUUACGCGUGUGUGUGCACAGGGGAUGCGUGUGUGCGUCUGUACGCGUACGUGUAUGCACGCAUAUAGCUAGAGAGAGACAGAAAAGUGCACUGUAAAAUAUACAGACGUUACAAAUA